This 253-nucleotide ribosomal RNA is filed under the name uncultured bacterium. RNAcentral describes it as "partial 16S ribosomal RNA". It matches the Rfam family "Bacterial small subunit ribosomal RNA", at positions 524 to 776 of the family's 1533-position model. The record is from RNAcentral.
UACGAAGGGGGCUAGCGUUGUUCGGAAUUACUGGGCGUAAAGCGUGCGCAGGCGGUUUUGUAAGACAGAGGUGAAAUCCCCGGGCUUAACCUGGGAACUGCCUUUGUGACUGCAAGGCUUGAGUGCGGCAGAGGGGGAUGGAAUUCCGCGUGUAGCAGUGAAAUGCGUAGAUAUGCGGAGGAACACCGAUGGCGAAGGCAAUCCCCUGGGCCUGCACUGACGCUCAUGCACGAAAGCGUGGGGAGCAAACAGG